This 3244-nucleotide ribosomal RNA is filed under the name Candidatus Nealsoniibacteriota bacterium. RNAcentral's name for it is "bacterial LSU rRNA". It matches the Rfam family "Bacterial large subunit ribosomal RNA". Lineage: Bacteria; Candidatus Nealsoniibacteriota. The record is from RNAcentral.
AAGGUUUAUGGGCAGAUGGUGGAUGCCUCGGGAGCGGGAGGCGAUGAAGGACGUGGCGUGGCUGCGAUAAGCCUCGGGGAGGUGUCUAGCAACCUUUGAUCCGGGGAUUUCCGAAUGGGGAAACCUGACGCUGUGGAAACAGCGUCGAGCGCUGUUCCACAGCGUAGUUAAUGAGUAAAUGAGUUUAUGAGUUGAUGAAUAAGAAAUUUUUUUCUCAUAAACUCAUUAACUAAAGGUGCGAAAGCACCGUGCUCAUAAACUGCGCUGCGGAGCAGCGCUGGCGAACCCGGGGAAGUGAAACAUCUCAGUACCCGGAGGAAAAGAAACCAAUUUAGUAAUGAGUUGAUGAGUUUAUGAGUUGAUGAGUAAAAUUCUCAUUAACUCAAGCUCGCGAAAACGAGCCUGCUCAUCUACUCAUUACUAGCCAUUCCCUAAGUAGCGGCGAGCGAACAGGGAAGAGCCCAAACCCUUCACCUUAAAAGGCGAAGGGGGUUGUAAGAAGAUAGCGUCGGGAGCCCCGCUUUCAUAUUUUUAGUAUGCAGGCGGGACUUGCCGAGGGAGAGUAUUUAGGCAAAGGUUGGUUAGGGGAAGCACCCUGGAAAGGGGCACCAUAGAGGGUGAUAGUCCCGUACCCGAAAACCCCUUUGCGCUCCUUGCUAUCUUUCUUGAGUACCCCGAGAAAUGAAAAUCUCGGGGGAAGUAGGCAGGACUAUCCUGCCAAGGCUAAAUACUACCCGCUCACCGAUAGUGAACUAGUACCGUGAGGGAAAGGUGAAAAGUAGCCCGGGAGGGCGGUGAAAUAGAACCUGAAACCAUCUGCUCACAAAGAGUGGGAGUUCCGCUUUUAGCGGAAUGACCGCGUGCUUUUUGCAGAACGAGCCAACGAGUUUACUUCUCCUGCUUGUCUAAGGGGUUCUGCCCCGAAGGCAAAGUGAAAGCGAGGGUUAACAGCCCGCGUUUUUGGCAGGAGAAGUAAGACCCGAAGCCAAGCGAGCUUGCCAUGGCCAGGGUGAAUUCCGCUGAAAAGCGGAAGGAGGCCCGAACCCGUGGAUCGUGCAAUAUCCUGGGAUGAGCUGUGGCAAGUAGUGAAAAGCUAAACGAGCUUGGGAAUAGCUGGUUCUCCCCGAAAUAGCUUUAGGGCUAGCCCCGCUGAUUUUGCUUUGUGGGGGUAGAGCACUGGAUGGUUUAUCGUGGGUUUUUCCCAGGUAAACCAACCAAACUCCGAAUACCACAAAGCCAAGGCGGGAGUCAGACCAUGGGAGCUAAGUUCCAUGGUCGAGAGGGGAACAGCCCUGACCACCAUCUAAGGUCCCUAAGUGCGAGCUAAGUGUUAUAAGGAAGUAUCUCGCCUUUGACAGGCAGGAAGUUAGCUUAGAGGUAGCUAUCUUUUAAAGAGUGUGUAACAACUCACUGUCCGAAUCCCGUUUUCAACGGGAGAGGCGAGAUGCGCCGAAGAAUUUAGGGGGCUUAAGCUCGCCACCGAAGAUGUGGGUUACUAGUUGAUGAGCUUAUGAGUAGAUGAGUCGAUGAGAGAAAAUUUCUCAUUACUCAUUUACUCAAGGCGCGAAGCGCCGUGCUCAUAAACUAGUAGCAGUAGGGGAGCGUCCCUAUUGCCCUGAAGUUCCGCUGUGAAGCGGGAUGGAGCGAUAGGGAGUGAGAAUGUUGGCAUGAGUAACCGCAAUCCCGCAGAGUAUGCGGGACACCGAAAGCCUAAGGUUUCCUUGGCAAUGAUAAUCAGCCAAGGGUUAGGCGGCCCUAAUCCCGCUGACCGAAAGGUAGCGGGAGAUGGACAGCCGGUUAAUAUUCCGGCCCUCCCUCACUAAUUCGAAGGGGUGCGGAGACGAGGCCUCUGGGCAGAUUAUUGGAUUUCUGUUCCUGCUCUGAGAGGAGACUCAAAGAGCGGGAGGAGUUAGAGCUUCGGCUCUAGCAACUCGGAGGCGCAGUCUUCCUAGAAAAGCCCCUGAGAAUCUAUUAGUGAGGGAACCGUACCGCAAAACCGACACAGGUAGGCUGGCAUAAGUGUGCCAAGGUGAACGGGUGAAAGCUCGCUAAGGAACUCGGCAAACAAGCGGCUGUAACCUCGGGAUAAGGCCUGCCCGCUUUUUAGCGGGCCGCAGCGAAAGUUGCCCUGGCGACUGUUUAUCAAAAACACAGGUCCCUGCUUAACUGGUAACAGGAUGUAUAGGGGCUGAGGCCUGACCAGUGCCCGUGUGUUAAAGUUGCCGGUACUCUACAUUUAGUGGAGUGCUGAGCGACUUAAGCCACGGGUGAACGUCCGCGGUAACUCUGACCGUGUUAAAGUAGCGUAAUCCCUUGCCGGGUAAGUUCCGGCCCGCAUGAAAGGUGUAACGACCAGGGCGCUGUCUCGGCGAGCUGCCCGGUGAAAAUGCAAUGCCCGUGAAGAUGCGGGCUACCUGCGGCUAGACGGAAAGACCCCGGGAGCUUUACUACAGGCUCUCAUUGGGUUAUUAACUUGGAUGCGUAGCGUAGCGGGGAGACUAUGAAGUCCUGCUUCCGGGCAGGAUGGAGUCGUCAAUGAAACACCCGCCUUUCAAGUUGAUAAUCCUAAUCCCGGUUUCAGCGGGAAACAGUGGGAGUCGGGUAGUUUAAGUGGGGCGCUUGCCUCCUAAAAAGUAACGGAGGCGUUUAAAGGUCGGCUAUCCCGCGAUGGAAAUGCGGGAGAUAGGGCAAAGCCAAAAGCCGGCUUUACUGCGAGGCGGACAAGCCGAGCAGUUGCGAAAGCAGAACUUAGUGAACCGAUGCCGUUUCGGUCAUAGAAGCGGCAGAGAUAACCGGAUAAAAGCUACCCCGGGGAUAACAGGCUGGUAGGGCCCGAGAGUCCACAUCGACGGCCCUGUUCGGCACCUCGAUGUCGGCUCAUCACAUCCUGGGGCUGGAGAAGGUCCCAAGGGUUGGGCUGUUCGCCCAUUAAAGUGGUACGUGAGCUGGGUUCAGUACGUCGUGAGACAGUACGGUCCCUAUCUACCGCAGGCGUCGGAGUCUUGAGGGGAGUUGCCCGUAGUACGAGAGGACCCGGGCGAGCCAACCUCUGGUGUACCAGCUGUCGCGCCAGCGGCACCGCUGGGUAGCUAAGUUGGUUCGGGAUAAGCGCUGAAGGCAUCUAAGCGCGAAGCCCACCCCAAGAUUAGGACUCCAAGGCCCCCUGGAGAUGACAGGGUUGAUAGGCUCCAGGUGUAAGUCCCGUAAGGGAUUUAGCCAAGGAGUACUAAUGGCCAAAAACUUC